This 1119-nucleotide ribosomal RNA is filed under the name uncultured organism. RNAcentral describes it as "bacterial SSU rRNA". It matches the Rfam family "Bacterial small subunit ribosomal RNA", at positions 49 to 1214 of the family's 1533-position model. The record is from RNAcentral.
UAAUGCAUGCAAGUCGAGCGAUGAGGUCUCCUUCGGGGGACACAUCAGCGGCAGACGGGUGAGUAACACGUAAGUAACCUACCCCAGAGACAGGGAUAACCCUAGGAAACGAGGGCUAAUACCGGAUGACCUCCGGAAGGAGGAAAGGCUGAGGCGCUCUGGGAGGGGCUUGCGGCCCAUCAGCUAGUUGGUAGGGUAACGGCCUACCAAGGCGAAGACGGGUAGGGGGUGUGAGAGCACGGUCCCCCACAAUGGGACUGAAACACGGCCCAUACUCCUACGGGAGGCAGCAGCAGGGAAUAUUGCACAAUAGGCGGAAGUCUGAUGCAGCGACGCCGCGUGAGUGAAGAAGGCCUUCGGGUCGUAAAGCUCUUUUGUAGGGGAAGAGGAAGGACGGUACCCUAAGAAGAAGCGUCGGCUAACUACGUGCCAGCAGCCGCGGUAAGACGUAGGACGCGAGCGUUAUCCGGAAUUACUGGGCGUAAAGGGCCAGCAGGCGGCUUGGUAAGUUGUGCGUGAAAGCCUCGUGCUCAACGCGAGGAAGCCGGACAAUACUGUCAAGCUAGAGGGCAUCAGAGGGGAGUGGAAUUCCCGGAGUAGCGGUAAAAUGCGCAGAUAUCGGGAGGAACACCGAUGGUGAAGGCAGCUCCCUGGGAUGCACCUGACGCUAAGAGGCGAAAGCUAGGGGAGCGAACAGGAUUAGAGACCCUGGUAGUCCUAGCUGUAAACGCUGGGUGCUAGGUGUGGGACGUAGAAGUUCCGUGCCGGAGCAAACGCGAUAAGCACCCCGCCUGGGAAUUACGGUCGCAAGGCUAAAACUCAAACGAAUUGACGGGGCCCCGCACAAGCAGCGGAGCGUGUGGUUCAAUUCGAUGCUACACGAAGAACCUUACCUGGGUUUGACAUGUACGUGGUACGAGGGCGAAAGCCUAAGGACCCUUCGGGGAGCGUACACAGGUGCUGCAUGGCUGUCGUCAGCUCGUGCCGUGAGGUGUCGGGUUAAGUCCCGUAACGAGCGCAACCCUUGCCCUUAGUUACAAGUGUCUAAGGGGACUGCCGGCGGGAAGCCGGAGGAAGGUGGGGAUGACGUCAAGUCAGCAUGGCCCUUAUGUCCAGGGC